UUGCACCACUGCACUCCAGCCUGGGCGAUACAGUGAGACCCAGUCUCAAAAAAAAAAAAAAAAGAGUCUUUUUUGAUGGUGGACAUCUUCCAAUGAGCAUUCACAUGGGACAGAUUUUUUUUUAGUUCUACCGUUGUUCUGAAAGCUCUAUGUAUGUUCCUCUUCCCUAAAAAUCUUUGUCACCAAGCCUCCAGAUUUAUUCCUUCUAAAAUGUUGAAAUUCCAGCUAAUUCCUUAGUUGUUACCCAGGAAACAAUGCAGAUCCUGGUCCGAGGAUGCAGCUCCUUCCAGGCAGCCUGGACUGUGAGGUGUGCUCCAUUGCUCUUCAGGAACCGUCCUUGAGAGGCGUUCCACAGCAGGCCAGACCUGGGGGGAGCAGGUGGGCCAGGCGGAAAGCACAGCACAAUUUGAGAGAUGCUGAGUACUCAUGACUCUGUGUAAGCACCUGAAUUCAGCCCUCAUGGUCUUUUCUGAGCUGUCAGUCAUUUAUCUCUAUUUAGUCAUUUUGCGAAUUGGAGUUAGCUUCCUUCCCUCUACACUCAAAGACGGCAUGUCAACAUUUUAGGCCUCUGGGUGGAAUGAACUCCCAGUUUCCUGGGAGGGAGCUGAUUGGCAUCUAUUCGCCUCUUCCUAGUUUUGUGGGGUUUCCCAGCAUGUGGAGUCAUAGAGAAAGACUGGUCCCACCUUCUAUGUAAUGCCCAAGAGAAUAGAUGACUCUCUGUCCACCCCCACCCUGGCAUCCAGGGCUUCUGGACAAGACCUAGGCUGGCUAAUUGGCUGCUUCCACAUGGGAUCCUGAAUCUGGAGCAAGUGAGGCAAAGCCCAGGGUGCUUAGAAUCCAUUCUCAGUGAGAGCAGCAGGACUGCCCGGGAGGGGAAUAGAGACGGGGACGACCGAGUCCUGCACCAGCAGAGAUGACGUCCGCAGGUGGCGGGGCAGCGCUGUGGCCGUGUCACUCCUCACAAAGCAGGGCUCUUGUGCUCGCAGCCUUCGAUACCGUCUCACUGUCUUGGCUUCUAUUUAUCUUCCAAGCCAAUUUCCAGCCUCCUACACACGUGGGGUUCUUCUGGUAUCAUUCCAGUGAAUUUCAUGUUGUUUUCUGCCCUAAGAAAACAGAGUUGGUACCUCUGCUCGACCAAGAAGCCUGAUUGAUACAGACUGAGAGCUGCAGGCUGUGUUUAUUUGCUUCAUUAACAAGAACAACUUAGGAAUGGCAACUUCCAUUGAUGAGCUUCCUACUUUGUUCUGCGGUUGGAAAACAAACAGUUGUUUCCCUGUUGACGACUGGCCACACUGGAGAGGUGAACAGUUCACUCUCAAGGCCAUACUGACUUGAACACUGGCUGUCUAGAAACAGAGAGGCAGGCAGCGGCAGACAGGAAGAGAGAUGGAGCAGAGUCCUCCAGCGGGAGCUGCACCUCGGAAGCAUCCUUAGAUGCGGCUUGGAGUUGGGAUCCUUCAAUUCCCCUCAGGAGAGUCAGCCAAAAAUAUCAACAGCCACAAUUUAUUGGACGCCUUCAGGAGAAAUGUCAAAGGCCUUUGUCCAAAGAAGGAACCAGAUUGGGGCCAACCUUUCAGACGGAUGUCCAUGGGAUGCUCGAGCUGCCUUUCCCCAACAAGUGGUGUCAACAGGGAUCUGGAGAGGUCGUGUGCUGGCCUCCAGGGGGUACCCCAGGGAACGGUGGGAUGUGAGAGUGACAGACCAGGAGGAUGGGGGCCUUUAUCAGUCAAGUGCUGUUCUGUCCCCACCAUCCUUUAGCUGGUGAAUAAUCUCAGGGGGAUUAUUAAAAGCCCAGAAGCAAAGAAGCAUUUGAAAGGUCCGUAUCUAGGAGUCUGGUUUCUCAGAGGAUCAGGGAGGGAUAAGAUUGGCUAAAAGACAGAUUUGGGACUUACUAUCAGAAAAGAAUCACUAGGAAAAUCUAAUAUUGGUACAUGGAAAAGCAACAUGUGGAUUGAAUGAUGGGAUUUCCUGUGAAGAAAAGGUAAGGCAUGCAAGCCAGACAGGACAGAAUGAUGGGCGAAAAUCAAGCCACGCACCUCAAACUCCUCUCGAGCUGAGAUCCAGAAAGACAGGGGCAUGGAAUUGCUGCUGGGUCUGGCAGGGGGCAAGAGCCAAACAGAUGAAGGGUACAUGUGACUGCCAUUCAGGGCCACGAUAGAGGAAAUGAUCAGAAGUCACUUUCUAGAGGCUGUAGAUGGGAGUUUGAUAAGGACCAUGGGGGACAGCUGAGAUCUGGGCAGAUUUGAGAAGGGAGAGCAGAACAGACUGCGUCAAAAGUGGAUCCGUGAGUUUCCUGGCGACCCAGGUAUAGAAGGGAUGCAGGAGUGGCCUGUACUUUCAGAAGCACAUGCAGGAGGAUGCUGGUCUGGGACUGGAGAUGAAAGAGGUCCAGAGAAAAUGGGACACGCUCAGACAGGGGAGCUGUGGGUGGAGUUCAGGACAAAGUCUGAUGUAAGGCUCAUGGAAGACCUUCCUGAAGGAAUUGCCCCUCUCCAGGAAGUAAGGAGGGUGGAUUUGUUUCCACAGUGGGAAUUCCUGGCAGGUCCAGAACUUCUUGACUUUCUGUCUCUCAAUACUGUAGACCUGCAAGAUGGAUAACAGAGGCAUUAGGGAAACUGAUGCCUACGCCACAAAGUUUAAAUACAGCACAAGGAAAGAAGCUACUUUGAUCCAGAAAACACUGCUAACCCCAUCCAAGACUGAGAUGGAGCAGGGCCCUAUGGGGUGAGAUAAGCGUCUGAGGAGCAGGCUGCAGGGAGGAAUGUUCCAGCUGCCACUGAAGCAACACACGAGGCUGAGGCUUGAAAGCUCAAAGGCCGAGGGAGCCGUAGCUUUGGGAAGGAGCAGCUGAUGGGGACGAUGGGUCACCUAAGCCGAGCUGUACCCUCGUCUGCUCCACCUCGAGUUUGAAUUCAACAAGUCUAUUGCUCCAGUGUUUUCUGAAUUAUCUGCAUAUUCAGAAUUCAGCCUGCGGAGCCUCAGCUCUUCUGAAUAUUUAAAUGACGCUCAGUUGCGAUCUGCAUCUCUCAUCAUGGUGUCUGACCCAAAGAUCACAAAGCUGAAGUCUAGCAAAUGACAGGAAGAACUAAGAGAAAGUGCUGCUGCAAAAAGAGUUUAAUGAGAGGGAAACUGAGGCUCUGAGAGAGGAGUGACUUGUCCAGGGUCCUGUGAUGGGAGACUGAGCAGGUAAAUUGCAGGACUCCACCUCUCUGGCCCUCUGUUCAGGCCUGUGAGGUGAUGAGGGAAGAAAGGGACUGUGCUGUGUGUCCUGAAAGGGAAAGAUGGCCCACACUGAGGGGGUUGUGUGGGCGCUGGGUUGGUGGGAAGGAUACGUUGCAGAGUGGUGUUUGCAGCAUGAUCCCAGCUUUGCAAUCAUAAGAUUAAAAGCCAAACUGUAGGGGACAUGUUCUCAGGAUCUCCUGGAGCUAUGUCAUGGGGAAAACAAAUAGAAAAUAAAUUUUAAAAAAAGUAAAAGAGAGAAAGCCAAACUGUAGACAUGUGAGUGUAACUUUGAGAGUGUGAGCUUAGACCUCUGUGUUUGUCGAAGCAGAGACAAGCCAGGCUGCUACCAGUGGUUGGGGACAAUUAGUUGGGGAUGGAAUAGAAUCCCAUUUCCUACUUUAGAAACUUUGCGAUUGGCCGGGCGCGGUGGCUCAUGGCUGUAAUCCCAGCACUUCCGGAGGCCAAGGCAAGAGGACUGCU
RNAcentral lists this long non-coding RNA (3702 nucleotides) under Homo sapiens (human). RNAcentral describes it as "HSALNT0405964". The record is from RNAcentral. Lineage: Eukaryota; Metazoa; Chordata; Mammalia; Primates; Hominidae.